RNAcentral lists this ribosomal RNA (510 nucleotides) under uncultured bacterium. RNAcentral describes it as "partial 16S ribosomal RNA". It matches the Rfam family "Bacterial small subunit ribosomal RNA", at positions 28 to 507 of the family's 1533-position model. The record is from RNAcentral.
GACGAACGCUGGCGGCGUGCUUAACACAUGCAAGUCGAACGAAGAGCGAUGGAAGCUUGCUUCUAUCACUCUUAGUGGCGAACGGGUGAGUAACGCGUAAUCAACCUGCCCUUCAGAGGGGGACAACAGUUGGAAACGACUGCUAAUACCGCAUACGAUCUAACCUCGGCAUCGAGGAUAGAUGAAAGGUGGCCUCUACAUGUAAGCUAUCACUGAAGGAGGGGAUUGCGUCUGAUUAGCUAGUUGGAGGGGUAACGGCCCACCAAGGCGAUGAUCAGUAGCCGGUCUGGGAGGAUGAACGGCCAAAUUGGGACUGAGACACGGCCCAGACUCCUACGGGAGGCAGCAGUGGGGAAUCGUGCGCAAUGGACGAAAGUCUGACGGAGCAACGCCGCGUGAGUGAUGACGGCCUUCGGGUUGUAAAGCUCUGUUAAUCGGGACGAAAGGCCUUCUUGCGAAUAGUUAGAAGGAUUGACGGUACCGGAAUAGAAAGCCACGGCUAACUACGUG